AGACCCGAAACCCGGUGAUCUAGCCAUGGGCAGGUUGAAGGUUGGGUAACACUAACUGGAGGACCGAACCGACUAAUGUUGAAAAAUUAGCGGAUGACCUGUGGCUGGGGGUGAAAGGCCAAUCAAACCGGGAGAUAGCUGGUUCUCCCCGAAAGCUAUUUAGGUAGCGCCUCGUGAAUUCAUCUCCGGGGGUAGAGCACUGUUUCGGCUAGGGGGCCAUCCCGGCUUACCAACCCGAUGCAAACUGCGAAUACCGGAGAAUGUUAUCACGGGAGACACACGGCGGGUGCUAACGUCCGUCGUGAAGAGGGAAACAACCCAGACCGCCAGCUAAGGUCCCAAAGUCAUGGUUAAGUGGGAAACGAUGUGGGAAGGCCCAGACAGCCAGGAUGUUGGCUUAGAAGCAGCCAUCAUUUAAAGAAAGCGUAAUAGCUCACUGGUCGAGUCGGCCUGCGCGGAAGAUGUAACGGGGCUAAACCAUGCACCGAAGCUGCGGCAGCGACGCUUAUGCGUUGUUGGGUAGGGGAGCGUUCUGUAAGCCUGUGAAGGUGGCCUGUGAGGGUUGCUGGAGGUAUCAGAAGUGCGAAUGCUGACAUAAGUAACGAUAAAGCGGGUGAAAAGCCCGCUCGCCGGAAGACCAAGGGUUCCUGUCCAACGUUAAUCGGGGCAGGGUGAGUCGACCCCUAAGGCGAGGCCGAAAGGCGUAGUCGAUGGGAAACGGGUUAAUAUUCCCGUACUUGGUGUUACUGCGAAGGGGGGACGGAGAAGGCUAUGUUGGCCGGGCGACGGUUGUCCCGGUUUAAGCGUGUAGGUGUGUGUUCCAGGUAAAUCCGGUUCACUUUAACACUGAGGCGUGAUGACGAGGCACUACGGUGCUGAAGCAACAAAUGCCCUGCUUCCAGGAAAAGCCUCUAAGCAUCAGGUAACAUCAAAUCGUACCCCAAACCGACACAGGUGGUCAGGUAGAGAAUACCAAGGCGCUUGAGAGAACUCGGGUGAAGGAACUAGGCAAAAUGGUGCCGUAACUUCGGGAGAAGGCACGCUGACACGUAGGUGAAGUGAUUUACUCAUGGAGCUGAAGUCAGUCGAAGAUACCAGCUGGCUGCAACUGUUUAUUAAAAACACAGCACUGUGCAAACACGAAAGUGGACGUAUACGGUGUGACGCCUGCCCGGUGCCGGAAGGUUAAUUGAUGGGGUCAGCGCAAGCGAAGCUCCUGAUCGAAGCCCCGGUAAACGGCGGCCGUAACUAUAACGGUCCUAAGGUAGCGAAAUUCCUUGUCGGGUAAGUUCCGACCUGCACGAAUGGCGUAAUGAUGGCCAGGCUGUCUCCACCCGAGACUCAGUGAAAUUGAACUCGCUGUGAAGAUGCAGUGUACCCGCGGCAAGACGGAAAGACCCCGUGAACCUUUACUAUAGCUUGACACUGAACAUUGAGCCUUGAUGUGUAG
This 1450-nucleotide ribosomal RNA is filed under the name Salmonella enterica subsp. enterica serovar Weltevreden. RNAcentral's name for it is "partial 23S ribosomal RNA". It matches the Rfam family "Bacterial large subunit ribosomal RNA", at positions 711 to 2141 of the family's 2925-position model. The record is from RNAcentral. Lineage: Bacteria; Pseudomonadati; Pseudomonadota; Gammaproteobacteria; Enterobacterales; Enterobacteriaceae. RNAcentral also lists the same sequence under 1 other name.